Molecule: small nuclear RNA, 113 nt
Organism: Myotis lucifugus (little brown bat)
Lineage: Eukaryota; Metazoa; Chordata; Mammalia; Chiroptera; Vespertilionidae
Source: Ensembl
GUAGGCACACUCACUACAGCAACACAUAUACUAAAGUUGGAACAAUACAGAGAAAAUUAUCAUGGCCCCUAUGCAAGGAUGACACACAAAUUUGUGAAGUGUUCCCUAUUUUG